CUGAAAAGCCUGGAUACAGUGGACAUGGAGAGGAUGUUUCCAUUAGACGGAGAGUCUGUGAUCUGACAGCACAGUCUCAGAAUAAAGAUGCUUCCCCUUAAAACUCAGAUGAGAAACAUUUAUGGCCAGAAGAUGUCUGAUCUGUGGAAUUUGUUGCCACAGAGUUGGUUGAAGCUGCCAUUUGGGUAUACAUAUGACAGAGAUUAACAUAUUGAUGAUUGCUGAGCAGCUCAGGGUUACAGGAGGAAGGCAGGAAUGUGGUGUUGGAAUGAAAAUCAGCCAUGGUUAAAUGGUGGGGCAGACCAGUUGGACCAAAUCACCUGAUUCUGUUCCUGUGUCUUGUGUCUUACCGUGACUGGAUGAUGGAUCCUUCUUAUCCCGUAUCGUCUGUGAGAUGUGAGGGACAAUAAAAGAUUGUUUACUGAGGUCAUUACAUCUGCCUUCAGUGUUUAAAUCUCAGUGAGUUUUGUUCUUAGUAACAUUACACAGAAAUGUUUAGUUCUCCUUUUCAUUAUUAAUGUGCUUCAUUGUCUCUCUGGUUAAAGUUAGACCUGUGGUGAGAGAUUUAUUUGAAGAAAAACCCCAACUGGAGGCAAACCACGACUGAAGACGAGGGAGCAGCAACAAGUGAACCAGCCCGAGGACUGAGAGCACCGACUGGAGAGAACCCAUCUGACUCGGAGAUUCCAGUGAUUCAGUCAGCAGAAAGUUUGGUUAAAUUUGACAAGGAAUUCUUCUGUGGGAAUUAAAACACAACAAACCAGUUGUGCUGUCUCUGUCUGGAUAUUUAAGAAGUGGAGCAAGGGAUCCAAUCAACCAUCCUUCCUGGUCAGACUGUGGGGAGAGAUUCACUGGGUCAUCUGACUGACUGGCACACACAUCAUUUUACAUAGAGGAGAGGCCAUUAAACUGCUCAGACAACAGGAAUGAAUUCACUCAGUCAUCUCAUCUGAAGGUACAUCAGCGAGUUCACACUGGGCAAGGCCAUUCACCGGUACUGCGUGUGGGAAGGGAUUCAGGCUGUCUUCCCACCUGUGGACACACCAGUUAGUUACACUGACAGAGGUUGGUCAUCUGCUGAACUUGUGGAGAAGGAUUUAUUCGGUCAUCUAACGUAAUGGCUCACCAGCAAGUUCAAAGUGGGGACCGGCUGUUCACCUGCUCGGACUGUGAGAAGAGAUUCACUCACUCUUCCACCCUAUGGAGACACCAGCGAGUUCACACUGGGGAAAAGCCGUUUACCUGCUCAGAAUGUGGGAAGAGAUUCACUGAGUCAUCCACCCUACUGGUACAUCAGAGAGUUCACACUGGAGAGAAGCCGUUCACCUGCUAAGAAUGUGGGAAGAGAUUCACUGAGUCAUCCAAUCUACAGAAGCACCAGUGAGUUCAUACCAGGAAGAAGCCGUUUACCUGGUCAGGCUGUGGAAAGGGAUUCACUUCAUCAUCUAAUCUACUGACAUACCACCGAGUUCACACUGGAGAGAGACCAUUCACCUGCUCAGACUGUGGUAAGGGAUUCACUCAGUCAUCCAAACUAUAGAGUCAUCAGCGAGUUCACACUGGGGAAAAGCCAUUCACCUGCUCAGACUGUGGGAAGGAAUUCAUUCAAUCAUCCAAUCUACAGAGUCAUCAGAGAGUUCACACUGGGGAGAAGCCGUUCACUUGCUGUGAAUGUGGGAAGGCAUUUUCGUCAUCUCAUCUACUGAAACACCAGCAAUUUCACACUGGUUAGAGGCCGAUCACCUGCUCAGACAUUGGGAAGAGAUUAUCUCAGUCAUCUCCACCAAAUGUGCAUCACUCAGUUCACACUGGGGAGUGACUGUUCACCUGCUGUGAGUGUGGAAGGGAUUCUCUCAGUAAUUAACCUUGUGGUUCACAAUAGGGAGAAAGUUUCAGUAAGCUGCAUACUGGAUAUUUGUCCAUCCCCAUUGCUGAAUGCAAUUUCGAGAGUGACUGUCGGUGCUGAACUCUGCAAUUAUUGCUGCUGCUCACCACACCCAGUUCUGCACCCUGGUCACCAGGCAUGGGUGGAGUUUCUUCUACUGCAUAUUCACCUUUAAUGGGACUGGAGUUUAAUAUUCUGGCUCUGAGACAAAUAAAUCAGUUCUAUUUUGAACUCUGUCUUCAGAAUCUGUUGAAUUUAUAACACUGCUAAUGUAUAGUAGAGGGUCAACUCAGGCCAGCUGGACCCUGCCAGUUAUACUGUUCCAGGUCAAUCCUUUUAAAUCCUCCCCUGUUGUUCACCUCGCUCUGCCAGUGGUGAUGGGUUCCAAGCAGUCACUAUCCUGUGGGUGAAGAGGUGUCCCUUGAAUUUCCUGCAGACUGAAGAAGUCGAGCUGACUGCAGUCCUGCCUGAGAUGUUCUUCGCCCCUCAAAUCUCUGGGCUGAGGAAGAAUGACAUUGGUAGUUAACCUCCUUAUUCAUGGCUCAUUUCCACAUUAUGGGUCAUUUUCCCUGCUUCUGAAGGGUUAUGAAAGCACUCUGUCCCCUAAAGACUGAAAGCGGAAUGGGGAACCAUCUGUCGGAUGUUCAACGGAGCAGGGUCAGAAACCAGAGGCAAAUCGGCACAGGGCAGAGUUUGGGGCUCGGCGAUGAUCAGGGUAAAAACGUAUGAUGAGGAGAAGGGAAUCAGCAGCGGAGCGUGGCAACGAAUGACGGAGUAGCAAGAUUUGGAAGCUGAUUGACAGAGAAAAUAAUUUGGUUGACUGAUGACACAAACAAUACCUGUGGUGAGGUGCUCCACGUGUCGAGGAACGUGUGUGUUGGGAACGGUUUUAUCUAUUGGGGGGAGUUGUUCCUGCUUGUUUAUCCUGUAAUGUUAUAUCUGGAUGGUUAUUAUGAGUUGUCCUGUCUGAAAUAAUGCAUUGAUUAUCAUGUAAUUUGUAAGAUUUUGACUCUAAAACUGGAUCACGCUUGAAUUUAUGGUGGCUUUUUGAAGUGAUGGAGGUCAUUCAUCAGUUUGUAUUUUAAAGCAAUAUGUUGGUGAACGAUAUUUGCCACUUGAUUGUACUUUUGUAAGUAAUUCGAUUGAGUUAAACUGCUGCAGGAUCCUGGAUUGUGUUGGAUUGUGUCUGGUUUCACUUGGCAUUUUGUGCACUUACUGCCUUGUUUGUUUGUAUCUGAUGUAUUUUUGAUUUUUUUUUACAUUUUGUUAACCACCUCGUCCUGUAUUUAUGCAAGGAACCCCUCUGUUUCUGGGAAGAGGUCUCCAACUCUCAGUCAGGUUCUCGAUGCUUCCCUGUCACCGUCUAGUCUGCUCAGAUCGUUGGGAUGUCUCCCAUGGAUGGUCAUACUCAUUCAACUGGUUAAUGUUUUCUUCCAGAGUGAAGACUCAUUUUUCUGAGUUGGCCUCUCAUUUAAGUUUUCUGGUCUGUAUUUCUUAUUACGAUUGCAUAUCCACACAUGAAGUGCUGAAUCCAGUUCAUGUUUGUUGAAAAAAAAUACUUAGAAGUUUCAUCUGACUGUUCUGUGAUUUUUUUUCAAGUGUAUGAUUUCCCUCCCUCCUGUCCAAAGUCUAAGUGGGUUUGAGUGUAAAUAGUCCUUUCUAAAGUUGCUAUUUAUCUUUGUAAAGUUGCUAAUUGAAAUAGGACCAAGAUAUUUUUAUUAAAGAAAAAUCAAUGUUGGUAUUGA
Hypanus sabinus (Atlantic stingray) is the source of this 3630-nucleotide RNA transcript. It is a transcript of the gene named gastrula zinc finger protein XlCGF57.1-like, with no coding region annotated. The transcript is spliced from 2 exons. Lineage: Eukaryota; Metazoa; Chordata; Chondrichthyes; Myliobatiformes; Dasyatidae. The record is from RefSeq and is a predicted model, not a curated record.